RNAcentral lists this ribosomal RNA (525 nucleotides) under Pinnaspis hikosana. RNAcentral's name for it is "partial 28S ribosomal RNA". Lineage: Eukaryota; Metazoa; Arthropoda; Insecta; Hemiptera; Diaspididae. The record is from RNAcentral.
AUCUGGGCGGCGGAAUUCAGGAUAGUCGGGCGGGCUUCGCGCUCGUCCGGCUGUUUGAUAUUUCCGUCGCCGUGUCAGACGUCGCGACCUGUUGGUCGUCGGUCCUUGCUCGGAGGAAUCGCGUUCGAGUUCGUUGCGGGUGCGUUUCGGCGUGUCUCGCGGCGAAGGCGCGUCUUUCUGGCCGACGACGGACAGUAGGCAACGGUGUCCGGCGUCGUUUCUCGACGUCGGUGCCGGUCAGCGACGAUUUCUUCGGGCCUCUUUCCGACCCGUCUUGAAACACGGACCAAGGAGUCUAACAUGCGCGCGAGUCGCGGGGUUUCGAGCGUGCCACGGUGCGCUCGUUACUUCCGAAACCCGUACGUUGAAGGCGUAAUGAAAGUGAACAGGGAAGAUGGCGUUCCGAGUCGACGUACCGUGAUCGAGUAUCGCGGCCGGACGCCCGCACUCCCGGGGCGUCUCAAUGGUUCGUCGCGGAUGCGGACGGUCGUCUUUCGGGGCGGCCGUCGGUCUGCGACGGUCCGA